UUAGAAAACCUUUCUCUUUCUCUCUGACUGAGCUGAGAAUAUCCACAGAAAUGUGAUGAUAUUAUAAACCAAAAUGGUGAAAAAUAGUGUGUUUCCUUGGAGAAUUGGGCCCGGGCAUUGUGGCAGCUGGGGCAGAGGUUGGCCGAGAGAAGGAAGCAGGCGGGGGGUGAUGUGCGGGGUGCCUAAUUUCACUAAUUUCAACUAAAGACCAAAUCAGACUUUUGAAUAUUUACCUACAAAUAUUUAGCUUUAGGUACUGCCUUUAGGAAGAUCUUAAGCUGACCUAAAGUAGGAAUCCAAGCAGUGCCGCUCAGUUUCACAGACACUGAGGACAGCCCCAGCCCGGGAGAGCAGCGGAGCCACCUCGGGCCGCCGAUAAAAACCGGGAACGAGCGAACGAGCCAACCCCUCCUCCGAGCAGCCCGCGGGCCGCUCCCGGAGCCGCCCCGGGGCGGGACCGGCUCCGCCGGCUGCGGGCGCGCAGGUGGGUCGGGGGCUCGGGCGGGUCCCCGAGGGGGGUGUCCCCCCAGGCAGUGUCCCCAGGGUGUCCCCAGGGUGUCCCCCCCGCCCCGGGCCGGGGUCGCACCGCGGGCGGCAGCGGCGAUUUCGGCAGCCCCGGCUCCCGCAGCGUUUCCCUCUCGGGGCUCGUCCUGCUGCGGCAAACACGGAGCUUUCCUGGUUUUCCAGAUAAAAUCCGGGCUUGCGGGAGGCGCUGUUCGCCGGUAGGUGAGGGGCCCUCAGUCAGGAAAAAAAAAAAAACAAACCCAAACCAGCCAAAAACCCGGAAAAAAAGCCAGGAGGAGAAGAUGGAGGAAGCAGAAGAGGAUGACAUGACGUGUGGAGACUUGGGAAACGGACUUGGGAGAAGACCGGGAGGUGUUUAUGAAGGGGAGAACUUACAAAAUUCCUAUUCAGUUAGAUCUAGGAAGGGAUCUGGAAAGACUUGUCAUUCCCCCUUGUCAGCAAAGGUAGCGGAAGAAAGCGGUGCUGCAGCUCUUCCUGCUCCGAAACGGAACAGCUUUUUCGAUGGAUCCCUCAAAAAGCCUGCCUGUAGUUCCACACGGCAGAAUAGCUGUGAAUCAAAUACUGAAGUGUCAAAUGGAGAACUAAAGCAACAACUUCGGGAAGCUCUGGAGGAACUUGAAAUUUUGAAAGUUGAGCUUGAAGCAUCUCAAAGACAGCUUGAAGGAAAAGAUGAAGCCCUGAGAAUCCUGCAGAGCAUGGCAGUAUUUGAUAAAGCCACAAGCCAUACAAAAGCAAUGCUUCAGAAAACUGAGGAAGAAAAGAGGACUCUAGAGAAGGAAAUAAGUAUUUUGCAGUGGGAAAUUGAAUUUGAUCAGGACAGAUUUAAAAACAUAGAAGACACCUGGACAGAAAAAUAUGACAGGAUAUACUGUGAAAAUGCAGCUCUUAAGGAAGCGUUGAAACUGAGGACAGAAGAAGUUAAAACACUUAAAGCUGAAAAUGCAAUCCUGAACCAGCAGUGCUUGGAACUCCUGGCAAUGCUAGAUGUGAAACAACAGAAAGUUUUUCAGGAGAACAUGUUGUUGAACAGAAGUGACAUCACUGAUUUUACAGGUCUUGAACUGGCAGUGCUGGGAGCCUGCACCUGCAGUCCUGCUGAGGGGCAGCCCUGUCCCUGUGCCAAGGUGGCAGCUCUCACUCGGAAGCAGCUCCUUCGUCUCAAGCAAGAGACGGAAGCUCUGAGGAAGAGUAAGGACGAAGCGUACGUGACGGCGGACGCCUUCAGAGUUGCGUUCGAGCAGCAGCUGAUGCAGAGGAAGGAGCAGGCCCUGAGGCUGGCAGAAGCGAUGACCGUGAAGAAGGAAAGCAGAUUUGCGAGCUGGAGGCGUCGCGCUGGUAGCUGGGCAGGCAGCGUGCCUGGGGCUGGCUGGCACGGGGGCGAGCCGGGCUCCUCUGGCGGCGCCAGCCGUGUGCUGCUGGCCCAGCUGCUGCCCAGGGCCUCGGGGCUGCAGCUGGGGAAAGCUGGCACGGGGCUGACAGCAGCCGCGCUGUCCUUUGGGGAUUCUUUUUGGGUUUUUUUUGGUUUUUUUUUUUUUUUUCAAAUGAGCUCCGUGGAAGGGUUGGGGAAAGGGAAGAAAUGCAAAAAAAAAAAAAAGUAUAGCUGCAGCUGUUUUUAGCUCCAAGGGGGGUCUUGAGCAACCUGGUCUAGUGGAAGGUGUGGAACAAGAUGAGCUUCAAGGUCUCUUCUAAGCCAGGCCACUCCAUAAUUGACUGGAGUACUAAACUUCUUUUUUUUUUUUCCUUUAACAUUUUUAGCCUUUUAUUAUGCACGCGUAUCAAUAUUUGUGUUUAUUCGUGUUCUUACACUAAUGCAGAGUUACAAAGCCCUGUGUAAAAAGGGGAAGAAUUCCAAUCUGCAAAGUAGGAAUGAUUCUAAUAAUAUUUUACUCUUAAAAAAAAAAAUAAAGGGAUAGAGAGAAGUAUUUAAGUGCUUACAUCAUGGCCAGAACCACUGCAGAGUUUAGGAACGGCACAAUAUAUUUGUUUUGAGCACUGGCCAGGAGCUGCCAGGCUUAGAAGGGUGGUGUGUCUCCCAGGUUCCUUGGGCACUCCUGGGGUGUAGCACUAGGACAGCACAACCUUGAGUGUCUGUUUCCCCUAUACCGCCACCAUUCCUUCCAGGCUCCAUCACCUGGUGCAUCUCUUCCAUAAUUUUAGUGUAUUUCACUAUUUCUGGAAGUCUUACAAACUUGUAGGUGGCCUGUGUCGGAGAAUCUUUGGCUUUUUUAGGCUGCUUACUGUUUGAAAACAAACUGCCACGAGCUGUUGUUUAACUGGAGCGUCAGAAAAGUGUGUUUUCCGCAGAGCGAAAAGAAUCCUCAGUUUGCCCGCGUGUAAGAUCCAGGUUUAGGAGCGCCUGCUUCACCCCGAAGUCGCCUUCCCCUUCCCGCGCCGUUCCGCAGCCG
RNA transcript from Vidua macroura (Pin-tailed whydah), 2930 nucleotides. It is a transcript of the gene named coiled-coil domain containing 125, with no coding region annotated. The transcript is spliced from 10 exons. The record is from RefSeq and is a predicted model, not a curated record. Lineage: Eukaryota; Metazoa; Chordata; Aves; Passeriformes; Viduidae.